RNAcentral lists this long non-coding RNA (3561 nucleotides) under Gallus gallus (chicken). RNAcentral's name for it is "lncRNA (ENSGALG00010027666.1)". Lineage: Eukaryota; Metazoa; Chordata; Aves; Galliformes; Phasianidae. The record is from RNAcentral.
CUUAGCUCUCUUUAAGAAAUUCCACUUUCACACACACAUCAGAUUUUCUGCCACAAGAUGCUAUUGUAUGCAUCCUAAAAAUUGCUAUUUAAGAUACAAAACUUGAUAAUUCCUGGUAAGGUCAAUGAGAAUUGCUGAUGCUUAAUUUCUCAUAGAGAGGUACCAAAGCAAGGUAUUUUCUGUGUAGCUGAACCCCAUUAGUAUUACGGAGAUAAUGGCAUGUGCACUGGAAGGAAAACAGCCAGCUCAAAGAUGAGAGGAGACCACAUUUUUACGUAAUCAGCAGUUCAGCUAUUGAUUUUUUUUAAAGUAAGGCUUCAGCUGAAACCUUUCAGCAGGUGCUGUAACACAGAGCUUCGGGCAGAAGCUGAAUUUCAGGAAAUCAGAUGGAAUCUUAAUUCUACCUUAGAUUUCUGGCUGACCAUUUGUGGACUGCUAAGCACUGUUUCAAGUGACUUGAACCUGAAUUGCAGAUAGUGAACAGAUCACAAAUGGCAAAUGUCAUUUUUUUUAAACAACUCUGGCUGCUAUUUUAUCUGAAAAUCUUUUUUUUUUUUUUUUAAGAUUCCAGCUUCAUCUGGUUGGGUCAACUCAAAUGCAAUUAAAUUCAAGAGAGCUAAACUCCAUUUUUAGUGUUCACAUCAAUUAGUAGAUCAAGUUAAAGACAGGUAGACACAUCUAGGAGCUUAUUUUGAUCUGCAAACUCGUGUCAAGGUUGCAGACUGUCUGGACUCGAGUGUUACUUUGUUAUUUAACUUGACUUCGUAACUCAAAGUGAAAACUUAAGUCUCAUUCUUGCAAAUACAAGAGACUAUUGUUGCUGAUCUCCACCCUCUAGAGUCUGGUGAUAAAAAAAAAUCCAUCAGUUUGAAGAUUUGUACCCUGACACAAGGAUUUGUAUUCUGGCCAUCCAAUAGUCUUAGCCUAUCUGGUUCAUCCCAUUUGCAGAACCUACAAUUUUGUGGACUCUGAUGUGCUCUUUCUGAUAGACAGACACAGAAGGGGAACCCGGAGGUGCAGGCAUCUACUUAUUGCGCCGUAUGGAUGCAUUUUGAUAAUAACCACACGAGGGCAGAAAAGAACAGACAUCUGCGGACAGCCAGACGGCAGCCUGAUUUAAGAGAAGCGUCAAGUUCUGAUAUUUUUGUAAGGGAUUUGAAUGGAUAAAUAUAUUUAUCCAUUCAAACGCACACACAUCUGGAAUUGUUUAAAUAUAAAUAUAUCGAUAGAACACAUGUACACAGUGAAUAUAUAUUUAUAGUGUGCAUUUGUAAAUAUGUAUUUCUGGCAAGUAUGAGGAAAAUCGGUUUGGUUUUAAUUUUGGAUUGGCCUUAGUAAGGAUCUGAGAAUAACAGAGGCAUAAAAACAACUGAACCAUAUUUCCCUCUCAUUAACAUAAGCUGACAGUGCUUUCUUCAGUCUUUACCACUGUACAGGUAGGAGGCUGCGAUUAAGCAAGACAAGGAUCAAACUCUGAAAUGGGGAGACCCAUACAAUCAUAAGGGUUUCCAUGAUCAGGGACACCCCCAUUUUACGAGCUUCAGAUGUCCUGUACUGAGCAACUGGAAGAAGCGAGUUUUGGUCAUAUAAAGCACAAGUCAAAAAAAUGAACUUUGUUAUUACUAAUCUACACAGUUACACUGAAUAUAUGGUGCAUACCAGUGUUUAAAAUCUCCCAGCCUCACUAAAUCAAAGUGAUCUCAGAUAUGCAAUAUAUUUUUAUAGGCAGCCUUGUAAAAAUUAUUUGUCAUGCUUGUAUGUCUGGAAUGUGUCAACAACACUGCAGGCACUGAACCAGCUGAUAGUAAUUACUGGGGGGGGGGAGAAGAAAAGAAAAAGAAUUAGGAGCAAAAUUAACAACUGAAUUAUAUGAGGAAAAUUAAAAGAAGCUUAAUUGAGCAGAAGACUGAAAGCCACUUCCCCAGAAAUCCUAUCCCAGCUUGCCAUCUUAUUCCUUGUACAGUGCCAAAUAAACCUAACGUUUCUGUUUCUCGUUGUUUCGAGGAUUAAUUAGUGGCACAACAAUUGGGAAACAAAUAAAAUAACAGAAAAUGCCAAGCAUUGUUAUCGUGAGCUUGAAGGUCCCUGAUCUGAUGUGGGUGCACAAGUGAAUGGCCUCUGCAUUGCAAACUACGUAGAAGCAAUACUUUAAAGGUGGUUGAUUUCUGCUUACCAUUACAUACUUAAAAUGAGGAGAAAAUAAUUGUAAUUAAAGUUUAAAUUAUGUUAUGAUGAAAUUCAAGACACAACUUGUGCUGGUUAAGCACCUCCUACCUUCUAUUGCUCUGUGGGGCACACUUCAUAGCUCGUUACUGCAGGACAGCUGCAACACAAACAGCAAGAGCCCACCAGUGCUACAGAUGCUGCAGUACCUGUGAGUAACAACAGCUCUAUCACAACAAAUACUUAAUUACACAACUGAAGGAGAGAGAACAUGGUGCAAAUAUCAGCAACCUGAUGCUAAGCUGUGUUUUCUUUAGUGCUUAUUGCAAGCGAGAGUAACACAAUAUGUCGGUGCUCAUUGGGCUGAGGGUCUGAGCCUCCGGCCUGGAUGACACAUUGCAGUACAGCACCCAGUACCUCUCCUCAUCCCCUGGUUUAAGCAUGAUGGGGACCAACAUUUCACACAGUCUAAUAGUGACAGGAUACAUGAGAAUGGCUUUAAACUGAAAGAGGGGAAUCUUAAGUUACAUGUUCAGGAGUUUUUUACUCAGAGGGAGGUGAGGCCCUGGCAUAGGCUGUCCAGAGAAGCCACAGCUGCCCCAUCCCUGCAGGCAUUCAGAGGCCAGGCCAGAUGGAGUCCUGAGCAGCCUGGCCUGCUGGGGCAGCCCUGCCCACAGCAUGGAGUUGGGACUGGAUGGUCUUUAAGGUCCCUUCCAACCCAAGCCAUUGUGGGAUUCUGCAGGGAGAAAAGCAGCACUCCUGGCAUGCCCCAGUGACACCCAGAAUGGGGCACUGGGAUUGCAGGGGGUGCCCUCAGAUGUCUGCACACAGAACCUAGAUGUAGCCUGCACUACUCAAAGCAAUCCAGCAGUUUGCUUUUCCCUUUUUUUUUCUUUUUUCCUCCAUGGUUAGCUGCUCAGAAGAAAUACAGCUGAAGCAUGGUUUGUGCCAGCUUUGCUGGAGACAAGCAGCCCUGUGCAAGAGAAGCAUUUCUUUCUCACCCUCUUAUAUUCUGCACUCACUUAAGGAGCAAACAUACAUACAUCAGUAUUGGGAACUUGUGUCUCAAGUGUUGACUUCUUUCUGAGCUCCUGACCUCACCUGGAGAGGAGGGAGUUGAGGACCACAGCAGAACACUGAACCUGCCAGGACCCAAAUAGCCUUUAAGGGAAAGUAAGGGGAAACAACAAGAAGAGAUUUGAAGUGCCUGUGAUCAAUCACCACACAGCCACUGUCUAAGUUGAUCUCUCACAAACGCACUGAAGCUCUUAAUGACUGUAUUGAUAUAAACAUAGCUGCUUCAUUAUGAAAUAAUAAUAAUAAUAAAAAAUAAAUACUAAUUUUCAAAUUUUUUUUAAAAGAAUCUGGUUCUCUAAUCACCUGAGGGGAGAAAACUAC